UACGUAGGUGGCAAGCGUUGUCCGGAUUUAUUGGGUUUAAAGGGUGCGUAGGCGGUCCUAUAAGUCAGUGCUGAAAUAUCCCGGCUUAACCGGGAGGGUGGCAUUGAUACUGCAGGACUUGAGUAGAGUUGAGGUUGGCGGAAUUGACGGUGUAGCGGUGAAAUGCUUAGAUAUCGUCAAGAACACCGAUAGUGUAGACAGCUAACUAAGCUCUAACUGACGCUGAGGCACGAAAGUGUGGGGAUCAAACAGG
Molecule: ribosomal RNA, 253 nt
Filed under: uncultured bacterium
Lineage: Bacteria
Description: partial 16S ribosomal RNA
Rfam family: Bacterial small subunit ribosomal RNA
Source: RNAcentral